RNAcentral lists this ribosomal RNA (253 nucleotides) under uncultured bacterium. RNAcentral describes it as "partial 16S ribosomal RNA". It matches the Rfam family "Bacterial small subunit ribosomal RNA", at positions 524 to 776 of the family's 1533-position model. The record is from RNAcentral.
UACGUAGGGUGCAAGCGUUAAUCGGAAUUACUGGGCGUAAAGCGUGCGCAGGCGGUUUUGUAAGUCUGGCGUGAAAUCCCCGGGCUCAACCUGGGAAUUGCGUCUGAUACUGGAUGGCUCGAGUUUGGGAGAGGGAUGCGGAAUUCCAGGUGUAGCGGUGAAAUGCGUAGAUAUCUGGAGGAACACCGGUGGCGAAGGCGGCAUCCUGGACCAACACUGACGCUGAGGAGCGAAAGCCAGGGGAGCAAACGGG